Molecule: ribosomal RNA, 419 nt
Filed under: uncultured bacterium
Lineage: Bacteria
Description: bacterial SSU rRNA
Rfam family: Bacterial small subunit ribosomal RNA
Source: RNAcentral
ACGUGGACAAUCCUGCCCCCCGGCCCGGGAUAGCCCAGGGAAACCUGGAUUAAUACCGGAUGAGACGGGACCCGCGAAGGCGGGACCCGGGAAAGGCGCUGCGGCGCCGGCGGGGGAUGAGUCUGCGUCCCAUUAGGCUAGACGGCGGGGUAAACGGCCCACCGUGGCGACGAUGGGUAGCCGGCCUGAGAGGGUGACGGCCACAUUGGAACUGAGACACGGUCCAGACUCCUACGGGAGGCAGCAGCUAAGAUCUUCCGCAAUGGGCGAAAGCCUGACGGAGCGACGCCCCGCGUGAACGAAGAAGGCCGUGAGGUUGUAAAGUUCUUUUCGGGAGGGGGAACAACCGUGGCAGGGAAUGGCCGCGGGAUGACGUGAAUCCCGGAAUAAGCCCCGGCUAACUACGUGCCAGCCGCAGC